This 484-nucleotide long non-coding RNA is filed under the name Phoenix dactylifera (date palm). RNAcentral describes it as "long non-coding RNA (PDAC_LNC022329)". The record is from RNAcentral. Lineage: Eukaryota; Viridiplantae; Streptophyta; Magnoliopsida; Arecales; Arecaceae.
UUUCUCCCCCUUUUUGUCAUCAUAUCAAAAAGAAGGUAAACAGAACACACAAUCAAACAUAGAUCAAAAGGCACAUUAUUGAAGAAAAAUGCGGCUACUCAUUGUAUUAAUUUGUAUGUAAGUACAUUUCAGAAUACAAUAAGUAACGUAAGGCAAUACAUGUCAAAGCAAAAUACAAAAAGUAGCUACGGUCUCCUCGAGGAUGUAGGUCCUCCUCUCGAGGAUGUAUCUCCUCCUCUCGAGGAUGUGACUCCUCCUCUCGAGGAUGUGGCUCCUCCUCUCGAGGAGGUGGCUCCUCCUCUCGAGGAGGUAUCUCCUCGAGGCAUGCGCUCCACGAGUGAUUGGACCGCAUUGGUCACGUUCUCUAGCUGGCGAAUGAUGGCCUGGAUGGCCCUGCUCUGUGUCGUAUCCAGCUCGAGUACUGACUUCUGCAGUCCGUCCAGCUUGUCGAUGAGCACAUUCGACAAGCGCUCGGCCCCUGCGG